AUCGCUUCUUGGCCUUUUGGCUAAGAUCAAGUGUAGUGGAUGUCUGUAUGAUCAUCCCUUAAUUUUAAAAUUAUGUUUACUCUAACUACCACUA
Molecule: small nuclear RNA, 94 nt
Organism: Oryctolagus cuniculus (rabbit)
Lineage: Eukaryota; Metazoa; Chordata; Mammalia; Lagomorpha; Leporidae
Gene: U2
Rfam family: U2 spliceosomal RNA
About the family: U2 is a small nuclear RNA (snRNA) component of the spliceosome (involved in pre-mRNA splicing). Complementary binding between U2 snRNA (in an area lying towards the 5' end but 3' to hairpin I) and the branchpoint sequence (BPS) of the intron results the bulging out of an unpaired adenosine, on the BPS, which initiates a nucleophilic attack at the intronic 5' splice site, thus starting the first of two transesterification reactions that mediate splicing.
Source: Ensembl